AGACCCGUCGUCUAGUGGCCAAGGACAUCAGCCUCUGGAGCUGAGGACACCGGUUCGAAUCCGGUCGGGUCUA
This 73-nucleotide transfer RNA is filed under the name Candidatus Aenigmatarchaeota archaeon. Its description in RNAcentral is "tRNA-Gln". It matches the Rfam family "tRNA". Rfam says of the family: Transfer RNA (tRNA) molecules are approximately 80 nucleotides in length. Their secondary structure includes four short double-helical elements and three loops (D, anti-codon, and T loops). The record is from RNAcentral. Lineage: Archaea; Nanobdellati; Candidatus Aenigmatarchaeota.